GAAGCAGGCUGUGUUUACAUCAGGUUUACACAUGGCAGAGAUGAGAGGACAGGAUGCAGAGACACCAAUAGAUUGAGCAAUAAAAUAAAUAGCAUGGCACGAAAACGUUUAUCAACGGAGGACCCUGUCAGCAAGCUGCUGGAAGAUACUUUCAGCGACGAAGACGACGACGGAGACUCAGCUCCUGAUAGUUUCUCAAGUGGGGUAGAAGAGGAUUUUGAAGAAGGCGAUGAUCUAUUUGAGGACAUAUCUGAUGAAGACUACAUACCCUCCACUUCACCUGGACAAUCUCAUUCUACUCCACUAUCAUCCUCUUCACAACAGCAAGCAAGCAAAUCAGUGUCAGAGCCUGAACAGACAAAUGAAGGUGAUCGCUGCCAUGCAACACCAUCUAAAUCCCCAUCCACUCGCAAACAGGGACAUGGAACAUGGACUGCAACAUCACCUCAAACACCUCGACUCUCUGCUGCUGGGUGGCAGACAGAACAACAACCAGAUGCAUUGCCUGAGCCCCUCCCAGGCUUUUGCCCUGCUCGGACACCUGGAGUACAAGUAUUUUGGUUAUCAGACGAGCCCAGCCCCUCUGAGCUGUUCAAAACAUUUUUUGAUGAAAAGUCUGUCAGGAUCAUCUGUGACAAUACAAACAAACAGGCCCAGAAGAACAUUGAUAAAGGAAAGAAAUUCAAGUGGCGUGACAUCAUUCCCAUUGAUUUCUUCAAAUUUGUGGGACUCCUCUUUUAUAUGGCAGUCUUAAAACUGCCAGAAGUGCGACUGUACUGGAAACAGAAUUCACUUUUCAGUGUCCUGUCUCCAGCCUUAGUGAUGUCCAGAAACACUUUCCAGGUGAUAUCAUGGAACCUGCACUUGAGUGAUCCAGAUGAAGAUGCAGAAAAUGACAAGAAAAAGGGCACACCUGAAUAUGACCCCUUGCACCGACUCAGGCCAUUAUAUGACCAUUUACGGAAUGCAUGUAAGGCAUCUUACCAUCCCCGUCAAAACGUCUCAAUCGAUGAACGAAUGGUCACUACAAAAGCUAAAACUGGAAUGCGUCAGUGCAUCAAAAAUAAACCCAACAAGUAUGGCUUAAAGCUGUUUGUGAUGGCGGAUUCCAGCAACGGUUACACCAGUGAUUUUUCAGUCUAUACAGGCAGAUACCACAAUUCAUCUGGACAUGGACUUACAUAUGACACUGUUAUAGGUUUGAUGAGUCAAAAAUACCUUGGAAGUGGUUAUCACCUGUACUGUGAUAACUACUACACAAGUCCAAAGCUCUUCAUGGAGCUUUGUACUUUGAAAGUCCGUGCAUGUGGCACAUACAGAGACAACAGGAGAGAAUCCCGGACUAAAAAAAAGGACAGCAGAGGAACAAUAAGGUGGAUGAGAAAUGGACCGCUGCUUUUCGUAAAGUGGAUGGACUCUAAACAGGUGUCUAUGUGCUCCACAAUUCACACUGUGUACUCAGGUGAAAUUGCGAAAAGACAUGUGAAAGGGAAAGAUGGACAAUGGAAGAUCCAAAACAUCCCCAUGCCAACCCCAGUGGCAGAAUACAAUAAGUACAUGGGCGGUGUAGAUCUAUCAGACCAGCUGAUCCAGUAUUAUUCAGUGCACCAUAAGACAGUGAGCUGGUACAGAUUAUUAUUUCAACACUUCAUAGACAUUGCAGCCACAAACUCCUACAUCCUUCACAAAGAACUGAGUCGGAUGAAUCAGAAACAACCUAUGACUCACUUGAAGUUCAUGGAGACCCUCACUGCUGAACUUUGUGGUUAUAUGUUGGACAUGACACCUGUUCCACCAUCCAGAAUAGCUACACCAGGCACACCAUCUGAAUGUGUCCUACUAUCCACACUAGACUGGCCAUCCACACCAGACAAAGUUGUCAUACAGACCUGCACCCCAGUGGCUAUAAAGCCAGAUGUAGACAAGUCAAAAAAGGCCACAGAUGGAAGACUGUCCUGUGUACACUGCAAAAAAAAGACUGCAUGGAAGUGUAGAAACUGUGGUGUGUCACUGUGUGUGAUUGUAGACAGGAAUUGUUUUGCAGAUUGGCAUGAUGCUGGUCCCUUUGCAUAAUGAAAUGGCUUUUUUGAGAUGAUGUGUGGAGUGGUGUACAUAAAGUGCGUUCAGGAAGUCUUCAGAACACUUUUUUUCAUAUUUUGUUAUAUUGCAGCCUUGAGCUAGAAUAAAAAGAGAAAUUUUCUUUCAUCAGUCUACACUCAAUACCUCAUAUUGACGAAGAGAAAACACAGUAUUAGAUUUUUUUUUUUUACAAAUUUAUUAGAAAGGACAAACUGAAAUAUCGCAGUAUUCAGACACUUGAAAUUUAGCGCAGGUUCCUCCCAUUUCUCUGGAUCAUCGUUGACAUGUUCACUGCUGACAAUCAGAGCAAAAACCAUGAGGAGAAAGCAGCUGCCUGCAGAGUUUAGAGACAGGAUUGUGUCCAGGCUCAGAUCUGGGGAAGGCUACAAAAUCAUUUCUGCUGCAUUGAAGAUUCAAGAGCACAGUGACUUCCAUCGACCAGGACCAUGAAUAGCUGUGUCUCAAUUUAGGGGCUGCAUCCUUCAGAGGACUGAAUGUGUGGCCCUUCGUAGCUGUCGUAUACCAUGAAGACCCAACUGAAAUGAGACUGUCUGGUCAACAUAGGAUUUUCGCUGUGUGGGACAAGCUGUGCCCACCCCUACUGUUGCAUCCUGCCAAGUCCUCCUGUCGCGCAGCAACCAUGAAAACAUAACUUUUUUUUUCACAAAAACUUGGAGGUUUAAGGCCCAUGGUUUUAACAGUUGUACCAUUAGCUGUUGAACUAAGCUGAAGCACAAUGCUUUCAUUUGAAAGUGGCUCUCUAUCGAUGUUCGCUUACUUGUUCAGUAAUAAAAUUAAAUAAUCAACAUUCAUCAAACUCCACUUGUGCUAUAUACUGUGCUUUGUUUGCCAAACAUAUUUGGUUAUCUUGUCUUCAUCAGGAUGGUAAAUGGGGUCAUUACUUUUUCUGUAUACAAUCCAUUGAUUGACUGUUUGACUUUACUAAAUAAAUAUAAGUUAGAAUAAAUACAAAAACAUCCGCCAAAGCCCUGUAAACUUCAAAAUGGAUUUCUUUUCAUUUUUGUUUUUAUUCUUUACGACUUGUGGACAACUAAUAAUAAAAAAAACAUGUUACACAAAUACUAUUCCAUAGUUAAAGUUUAAAGUAAUACUUUUCAGCAAUAAUUUCAACCACAGAAUUGUGAUUUAGGUGAAGUACAUUUCUUUAUUUGGUCAAUUGUAACAAUGUAAAGCUACUGCUCUGCAAAAUUCAAAAGCAAAAAGUUUCUUAAUGUCUGUUUUUAAAAGGAUGGUCAAAUGAACACUUACUUCUUUCUCAGUGUUAAUUCUAAGCAGUACCCAGUUUACCAUUCACACAGUUAGUGACCUGGUACAUCUGUAGUCUCUUAGCAACUGCUCAGUCACCAGUCCAGAGACGAUAAUCGACAUCACUGUUAUGACUGAAGCUGCAGCUUGGAGAGCCAAUAGGAGACAGUGGAGAUAACAUGAAAUGUUUGUUUGAAUGAUUAGAUUCAAAUCUGUGUUUUCAAUUAAUGUGAUCCUGCCAGCCAAACCGCCAAAUGUGCCCUGCUGUGUGGAAAAUACUGCUGGCAUGUUCUGGCGCAGCUGUAUCUACAUUCACAGUCAUUCCCUGUUCAUCUGUUCUUACCAGUGUGACUGAGUAGAUUAUAAGAGGAAACCAAUAUUGGUUUAGCCACAGAUGAAUUUAUUUCAACAUUCCUCAAAUCUCCAUCUAAGUUCUUUGAAGAUACUUGAUUGCUAAAAGUGGUGAUAAAAAACAUGGGGAGACAGAAUCUUAGGUUUAUCAUUUUUGAUACCAGAAUGUGGAGCUAAAGUGAGUAGUUGAUGACUUGUUCAGUCAUUAGUUUCUCUUAUAUUGAUUGUUUUAUUAGAAAUGAAUGUGUUAUAUGUUGAAGCAGCCCACUGUUCUACUCAUCCUGUUUAUGCUUGAAGAGGUUUAGGGCUGCAUGUGGUUCGAGUCUUUAUGUUACUUUAGGUUUUGGGACAUAUACUGUAUAUGUCAGUAGUAGACAUGCGUAUGUAUCUCUUGGGUGCUUGUUAUUGGUUGAAAUCAUAAGCUGAUAUGUAUCUUCUGUGUUCAUUUCUUUUCCCCUUGUUCUUUGUUGUAUAAAAAGGUGAAUCUGACUGUAUUGCCCCUUUAUUGAUCUUUGGGUUAAUCAGUGUCUGUGCUUUCAUUUCUGUCUGUCCAGGGUUUCAGCAGAAAAUCCAAAGCAGGGUGGUGUGACUGUACAUGUGCAGCUUCUCCUACGGCAUCUCCUUCACAACCUGACGCUGCAGCUGCAACUCCCUCCACACUGGGGUCAAGUCUCCUGUCCUUUACAGCGGAGGAGGUGAGGGCGGAGCUCAAGAGGCUACGUCCUGGAAAGGCAAAAGCCCCGGAUGGUGUGUGUCCGAGGCUGUUAAAGGACUGUGCAGCCCAGCUGGCUGAGCCUCUCCAGAGGAUCUUCAACUUAAGACUUCAAACAGGGAGAGCACCGGUCCUGUGGAAAACAUCAUGUCUUGUUCCGGUGCCUAAAGUAAGAUGGCCGGCUGAGAUAAAUGACUACAGGCCCUGGAGCAGCUGCUUCUCCACCUUCUGAGGCCAUCAUCAGUGAUCUGAUGAUGGUCUUAAGUGAAUGGAGCAACAAGAACUGCCUCCUUCUGAACAUCUCCAAGACCAAGGAGAUGGUCAUCGACUGUUGGAGGUCUAGGCCCACCCUUCAGCCAGUAAACAUUUGAGGGAAGGACAUUGAGGUGUGCACCUGGACAGUAAACUGGACUGGUCCCUGAACAUGGAUGCCAUCUACCUGAAGGGGCGGAGCCGGCUCUUUUUCCUCAGGAGGCUCAGGUCCUUUGACGUCUGCAGUGAAAUGCUGCACAUGUUUUAUCAACUUGUCUGACAUGAACACAAAGAGACUGAACAAGCUGGUCAAAAAGGCUGGGUCUGUGCUUGGCAGGAGUCUGGACUCACUCAGGACUGUUGUGGAGAGACGCAUGCAAUGUAAGCUGGAGGCCAUCUUGGACAAUACCGACCACGCUCUCCACAACAUUCUGGCAGGACAGAG
This is an RNA transcript of Seriola aureovittata, 5105 nucleotides long. RefSeq lists it as uncharacterized. The transcript has 3 exons. Lineage: Eukaryota; Metazoa; Chordata; Actinopteri; Carangiformes; Carangidae. The record is from RefSeq and is a predicted model, not a curated record.